RNAcentral lists this ribosomal RNA (253 nucleotides) under uncultured bacterium. RNAcentral describes it as "partial 16S ribosomal RNA". It matches the Rfam family "Bacterial small subunit ribosomal RNA", at positions 524 to 776 of the family's 1533-position model. The record is from RNAcentral.
UACGUAGGUGGCAAGCGUUAUCCGGAUUUAUUGGGCGUAAAGGGAACGCAGGCGGUCUUUUAGGUCUGAUGUGAAAGCCUUCGGCUUAACCGGAGUAGUGCAUUGGAAACUGGGAGACUUGAGUGCAGGAGGGGUAAGCGGAAUUCCUAGUGUAGCGGUGAAAUGCGUAGAUAUUAGGAGGAACACCGGCGGCGAAGGCGGCUUACUGGACUGUAACUGACGUUGAGGCUCGAAAGCGUGGGGAGCAAACAGG